GCAGUCGAGCGAAUGGAUUAAGAGCUUGCUCUUAUGAAGUUAGCGGCGGACGGGUGAGUAACACGUGGGUAACCUGCCCAUAAGACUGGGAUAACUCCGGGAAACCGGGGCUAAUACCGGAUAACAUUUUGAACCGCAUGGUUCGAAAUUGAAAGGCGGCUUCGGCUGUCACUUAUGGAUGGACCCGCGUCGCAUUAGCUAGUUGGUGAGGUAACGGCUCACCAAGGCAACGAUGCGUAGCCGACCUGAGAGGGUGAUCGGCCACACUGGGACUGAGACACGGCCCAGACUCCUACGGGAGGCAGCAGUAGGGAAUCUUCCGCAAUGGACGAAAGUCUGACGGAGCAACGCCGCGUGAGUGAUGAAGGCUUUCGGGUCGUAAAACUCUGUUGUUAGGGAAGAACAAGUGCUAGUUGAAUAAGCUGGCACCUUGACGGUACCUAACCAGAAAGCCACGGCUAACUACGUGCCAGCAGCCGCGGUAAUACGUAUGUGGCAAGCGUUAUCCGGAAUUAUUGGGCGUAAAGCGCGCGCAGGUGGUUUCUUAAGUCUGAUGUGAAAGCCCACGGCUCAACCGUGGAGGGUCAUUGGAAACUGGGAGACUUGAGUGCAGAAGAGGAAAGUGGAAUUCCAUGUGUAGCGGUGAAAUGCGUAGAGAUAUGGAGGAACACCAGUGGCGAAGGCGACUUUCUGGUCUGUAACUGACACUGAGGCGCGAAA
RNAcentral lists this ribosomal RNA (720 nucleotides) under Bacillus thuringiensis. RNAcentral's name for it is "bacterial SSU rRNA". It matches the Rfam family "Bacterial small subunit ribosomal RNA", at positions 57 to 758 of the family's 1533-position model. Lineage: Bacteria; Bacillati; Bacillota; Bacilli; Caryophanales; Bacillaceae. The record is from RNAcentral.